Long non-coding RNA from Spinacia oleracea (spinach), 1313 nucleotides. RefSeq lists it as uncharacterized. The transcript is spliced from 3 exons. The record is from RefSeq and is a predicted model, not a curated record. Lineage: Eukaryota; Viridiplantae; Streptophyta; Magnoliopsida; Caryophyllales; Amaranthaceae.
UGUUUCAAAUUCCUACCUUCUGUCAAUUUACGAAUUUUCUAAGUCUAGGUACUUUUAGGGGUUUUUGGUGUUCAGAUUUUAUCUUCUUUUGAUAUCUGAAAAUUCUUUUCCUGCUCUUAAGAUUCGCAGCAACCUGAAGAUUCAUGAUAUCUGGUCGAGGAUUGGAUUCUCUAGCAAGAUGUAGAUGGUAGGCUCAGUAUGUUGUUGAAAUGGCUGCGAAUACUCAGUAUGUUCAGUAUGCUGUGGGGUUAUUCUUGGGUUAUUUUGCGUUUGUGAUCAUGGUAGAAAACUUACAAGUUAGAGUAUCUAGUUUUGAUGAAUCAGUAGGGAUUACUGGAUUAGUAUCAGCCAUAUUUGUUUUGGUUCUGAAUUUCUUUGCUUUUCCACUCUCUCCCCUUCAGAGUUUUCUUGUAUGGAAGCUAGAGCAGUUGUGUUACAAAGUAUUUUAGCACUAUCAACACCUCUGCCAUGGUCAUAUAUAUUGUUCAUUAUAUUGAGGGAAAUUAUAUUCAAAAUGCUGGAAUAUUCCCGUUUUUAUUGGGUUCUCAGGCAUUUCCCCCCUUUUUUGCAUAUGUUUCUGGGAUUUUUCUUAGGUUGAUUUGCUUUUGUUGAAUUUUCUCUCUGGGAUCUGAAUUGGUUACCCAACAGUAAUAAAUAGUUUCUCUGGGAUCUGCUGGUAUUUUGGUUUGGUUUUCUCAUUCAAGAUGUAUCAUUGUAAUUGUUUCAUGUUUGGCUGUAGUAGAUGUUCGAAAUCCCAUAUGUUUGACAUGAUUGCACUAGCAAAUUUUGGAACGAAAUAGAAUGUUCUCCAAAUGUAUAUAUAUUAGGAAUUCCAUUUAUUGAUACAAUAAUUGUUUGUUCCUUUCAAGGUUGGUUUUCCUGGAAAAAUAUUCAUUCAAUUGAGAAACAAACACUGUGUUCUUCUUCAAUGGGAAGGUGGAAAAUCGGACUCCAUAUCUCUUCAAGGAGAUACAGACUUGGAUCAUGAAGAGAGUGAUCAUCUAAACCUGGUCAUCGUACACUUGAAGGAUUUGAGCUCAUUGUGUUCUGUACUUUAAGGAAACUGUUAGAGAACUUCAUCCAAGUUUGUCGUAGUCUGAAGAAUCACAUAGCAUAAUUACUGAUACACUUAAGCAGCUGGAGUCUGCUGUAUUCAGAUUGCGAGAGCUUAAGCUUCAGAGAUGCAGAAGACCCAGGAGCAACAAAAUCGCGCUAAAACCAGCAUACUGGAACCUCUUUUCCACACAACUUCAACAAUGUCAGCAGCAGUGGAGCAAACUCCGCAACCCUUCAUUCUUCGCCUUCAAUAAUCC